This 526-nucleotide ribosomal RNA is filed under the name uncultured bacterium. Its description in RNAcentral is "bacterial SSU rRNA". It matches the Rfam family "Bacterial small subunit ribosomal RNA", at positions 355 to 896 of the family's 1533-position model. The record is from RNAcentral.
UGGGGAAUCUUGCACAAUGGGCGAAAGCCUGAUGCAGCGACGCCGCGUGCGGGACGAAGGCCUUCGGGUUGUAAACCGCUUUCAGCAGGGACGAGGCGAAAGUGACGGUACCUGCAGAAGAAGCCCCGGCUAACUACGUGCCAGCAGCCGCGGUAAUACGUAGGGGGCAAGCGUUAUCCGGAUUCAUUGGGCGUAAAGCGCUCGUAGGCGGUCUGUUAGGUCGGGAGUUAAAUCCGGAGGCUCAACCUCCGUUCGCUCCCGAUACCGGCAGACUUGAGUUUGGUAGGGGAAGGUGGAAUUCCUAGUGUAGCGGUGGAAUGCGCAGAUAUUAGGAAGAACACCAGUGGCGAAGGCGGCCUUCUGGGCCAUAACUGACGCUGAGGAGCGAAAGCUAGGGGAGCAAACAGGAUUAGAUACCCUGGUAGUCCUAGCUGUAAACGAUGGACACUAGGUGUGGGAGAAUACGUCUUCCGUGCCGCAGCUAACGCAUUAAGUGUCCCGCCUGGGGAGUACGGCCGCAAGGCUA